GAUGAACGCUAGCGGCAGGCUUAAUACAUGCAAGUCAAGGGGGGUAGCAAUACUACCGGCGCACGGGUGAGUAACACGUACAUAACAUACCAUAUACUGGGGUAUAGCUUUGGGGAAACUGAAGGUAAUCCCCCAUAACAUUGCGAGAGGGCAUCUGAUUGCAAUUAAAGUUUCGACGGUAUAUGAUUGAUGUGCGUUUGAUUAGCUUGUUGGUAGGGUAACGGCCUACCAAGGCGACGAUCAAUAGCUGGCGUGAGAGCGCGACCAGCCACACUGGAACUGAGACACGGUCCAGACUCCUACGGGAGGCAGCAGUAGGGAAUAUUGGACAAUGGGCGAAAGCCUGAUCCAGCCAUGCCGCGUGAUAGAUGAAGGCCCUCUGGGUUGUAAAUAUCUUUUUAAUCUGGGAAGAAACUCCGUACUAUUCUUAGAGGCCUGACGGUACCAGAGGAAUAAGCACCGGCUAACUCCGUGCCAGCAGCCGCGGUAAAGU
This 493-nucleotide ribosomal RNA is filed under the name uncultured bacterium. RNAcentral describes it as "bacterial SSU rRNA". It matches the Rfam family "Bacterial small subunit ribosomal RNA", at positions 28 to 526 of the family's 1533-position model. The record is from RNAcentral.